AAACCUUCAACAACGCUUCCUCUGGGGUGUAAGCUCUUCUUACUGGCUCACCCUGUGGAGGGAGUGUACUUUCACCUUCAAUAAACCUUUGAUCUUGCUGCUCCUUUUGCGUGUCCUGCUCAAUUCUUUGUUCAAGACACUAAGAACUUGGAUAAGACCCUUCAUCGAGUAACAAUUUUGUAUUAUUUAACCCAAACUUCUGCCACAUGAGGAAGUAAGAAAAAUCUUUCCCUCACUGGCAUCUGCUUUUGUCUGAAACUUCUCAUCCAAACAGCUUAGACUUUCUUGGUAUUCUGGCAUAAAUACUCUGAAGAACCCAUUAGAAGACUUGAAAGAGUACAGAAAGAGGAAAUCUCAAGAAUAGGUAAGAUUCUGCUUUGUGAGAAAGGGAAGUCGUGUGUCUGCUCUCCGAAACUCUGUUCUCAGUAAAAGCACCAUCAGGUCAAGAAAACAUGUACGUCAAUCAGUUCCUCUUUGCUUAAAUGAAUUCCGCAUGAAUUGGUCAUUUGCAACCAAGAGUUCUGACAAAUACAUUGCACAAGAAAAGAGAAAUCAUGAAUCAUGAAAAAUGGAUCUUAAUUCCUUUAAGAUGAUGGAGCCAGCAGCAAAUCACAUCUCUGUGGUGGGAACAGAGACAUCUAGAGAACAACUUCUUCGUGAGAAGAAAGAGAAGAGCUCUGGGAAUCAAGAAAGAACCAGUAGGAAAGCUAAAAAUCACAGAGAACAGAAGACAACCAGAGAAAGGAAUGAAGCAGUGUGGAAAGCUAACUCUGACUCCAGGGUAGAGGGGAUCUCACCCCCAAACACAAGAUACCUUGAAGUCUGCCUUGAAGAGGGAAGAAACAAAGACAAGAGCUUGGUGGAUAGAAUAGACAUCAGAGAUGAGAAACCAGGCGUUAUAACACUGUACAAUCCAACGUGUCUCCCAUAUGUGUGGAAGAAUGAGAAGCAAGAAAAACCAGUUUCAAUCUAUAUUGUGUCCAGUGGGCAGGGAGCAUAUUUGGCACUAGGCUUCCUGCUAGAGAUUUCAGAUAUUGCCAGGCUGAAACAGUUCAUGCCUCUGGUUGUUGGGACAUAAACAGACAACUUACCAAGAUUUCCUCCCAGAGACAAAGUGGCUUCUCUUUGGAGAAGAUGUUCUGCUCCCUGAGUGUGAUGUGGUGGAAGGGAUUGAAAUCCAAGCAUAUGGGCUGGGAAAUGGUCCACCAAGAAUUUGGGAUCCAAGGAAGGAAUAAGCUCUGCUGACAGAGUCAUCCCAUGCCAAGGACAAAAAACCUAUGGAUGCCAAAUGGGACACAGAGUGAACAGCCUCUUCCAGGGAUACCUGAGAAAGCAGAAGACUGACCUUAGCAGUUGUUGUAUUACCUCCUCACAGAGGGGUCUGGACAAAGCCGUUGUCAAAGCAUGGGUUUCGCUCCGAUGUUGUUCUGCUUGCUCCAUCUGGGACUCAGAUGCAUUCUCCUUUACCACUGAAUUCCUCAACUUGGACCACACCACAUCUGCUACCUGGAAAGUCUGACAAACAGCCUGGAAUAUCUGCCUACGAGCAAAUAUUUAUACUGUUGGAGUUACAUGUAUCAUUUAGCCUAUCUUACCUCAGAGUGUUUUUGCUUUACACUGAGUCAGAUACAGAACUCAAAACUUCUUAGUUUUGUGAAUGUUGAAUAGUAAAUUUUUUGUUUUGGUCAGCCUAUCCUGUCUUCAGAGGUGCUGAUUUCAUCAAUUACAAGCAAUAAUUAUUCAACAUUCACAAAACUAAACUAAAAUAAAUCAUAUAUAUGAUAUAUAUUAUAUAAUAUAUAGUAUAU
RNA transcript from Heterocephalus glaber (naked mole-rat), 1808 nucleotides. RefSeq lists it as uncharacterized. NCBI's taxonomy places the organism in Eukaryota, Metazoa, Chordata, Mammalia, Rodentia, Bathyergidae. The record is from RefSeq and is a predicted model, not a curated record.